This is a long non-coding RNA of Schistocerca nitens (vagrant locust), 310 nucleotides long. RefSeq lists it as uncharacterized. The transcript is spliced from 4 exons. Lineage: Eukaryota; Metazoa; Arthropoda; Insecta; Orthoptera; Acrididae. The record is from RefSeq and is a predicted model, not a curated record.
AAAAGAGGACAGGUAAUUGAGUGACCUUUUUUUCCGCUUUCAGAUACCUGGCCAAUGAGAUGAAGUUGUACCACUUCCAUCAGUCCAGACAUUUGUCAAAGAAGUGCAGUUUAUAAAUGACCAAGUGGAUGAAGCAGCCACACUCUCACUGGUCCAGAUAUUCCUCAAAGAAGAGGAAGGUGCGUAUUGUAAGGCAGAAGAGCCUGUGCUGGUCUCACUUGUCCCAGUGCUUCUCAAAGAAGAACAUGUGCUUGAUGAAUCGCUGGAGGACUUUGAAGUUGGCAGUCACCCAUUGCUAAUAAAUCUGGUG